CAGCUCUCCGAGUGGUAGGGAUGAUUAUUGGGCUUAAAGCGUCCGUAGCCGGCUUAGCAAGUCUCCUGUUAAAUUCAGCGACCUAAUCGUUGAGCCGCGGGAGAUACUACUAGGCUAGGAGGCGGGAGAGGCCGACGGUACUUCCGGGGUAGGGGUGAAAUCCUAUAAUACCGGGCGGACCACCAGUGGCGAAGGCUGUCGGCUAGAACGCGCUCGACGGUGAGGGACGAAAGCUGGGGGAGCGAACCGGAUUAGAUACCCGAGUAGUCC
Molecule: ribosomal RNA, 270 nt
Filed under: uncultured archaeon
Lineage: Archaea
Description: partial 16S ribosomal RNA
Rfam family: Archaeal small subunit ribosomal RNA
Source: RNAcentral